RNAcentral lists this ribosomal RNA (438 nucleotides) under uncultured bacterium. RNAcentral's name for it is "bacterial SSU rRNA". It matches the Rfam family "Bacterial small subunit ribosomal RNA", at positions 954 to 1392 of the family's 1533-position model. The record is from RNAcentral.
GCAUAACGCGAAGAACCUUACCUGGGUUUGACAUGCACAGGACGCACCUAGAGAUAGGUGUUCCCUUGUGGCCUGUGUGCAGGUGGUGCAUGGCUGUCGUCAGCUCGUGUCGUGAGAUGUUGGGUUAAGUCCCGCAACGAGCGCAACCCUUGUCCUAUGUUGCCAGCGGGUGAUGCCGGGGACUCGUAGGAGACUGCCGGGGUCAACUCGGAGGAAGGUGGGGAUGACGUCAAGUCAUCAUGCCCCUUAUGUCCAGGGCUUCACACAUGCUACAAUGGCCGGUACAAAGGGCUGCGAUGCUGUAAGGCGGAGCGAAUCCCAAAAAGCCGGUCUCAGUUCGGAUUGGGGUCUGCAACUCGACCCCAUGAAGUCGGAGUCGCUAGUAAUCGCAGAUCAGCAACGCUGCGGUGAAUACGUUCCCGGGUCUUGUACACACCG